ACACGCAUGACACACUGCAUAUCAAUAAGCGGAGGAAAAGAAACUAACAAGGAUUCCCUUAGUAACGGCGAGUGAAGCGGGAAGAGCUCAAAUUUGAAAUCUUCAAGGUUCUACCUUGACGAAUUGUAGUUUAUAGAAGUGUUUUCUGUUAGUGGAGUGGCAAAAGUUCUUUGGAAUAGGACAUCAUAGAGGGUGAGAAUCCCGUAUUUGGUCAUUCCUCCUAGCGUUGUGAUACACUUUCAACGAGUCGGAUUGUUUGGGAAUGCAGUCCAAAAUGGGUGGUAAAUUUCAUCUAAAGCUAAAUAUUGGCGAGAGACCGAUAGCGAACAAGUACCGUGAGGGAAAGAUGAAAAGAACUUUGAAAAGAGAGUUAAACAGUACGUGAAAUUGUCGAAAGGGAAGCGCUUGACACCAGUGUUGUUUUUCCGAUAAUCAAUUACGAAUGUUUUAUUUUUGAGGAGUUAUGACUUCAUCGGCUUGCUCCUUUCUUUAUGAAACUUUCUUAAUGCACUUUUCGGUUAACAAGUCAACAUCAAUUUCUUUUGUUGUAAAAGGGUAUGAGGAAGGUGGCUUUCUUUUCGGAGAAAGUGUUUAUAGCCUUGUGCCUCUGCAAUCGGAGAGAUUGAGGCCUGCAGCGUAGAUCCUUCGGGGUUAGAUACGUUUGUGCUAAGUUAUAGCUUUUCAUAGACAACUUGUUGACUAUGUUUAGUCUUGUAGCUUACUCGCUUAUGCUAUUUUACCUACGCUUAGGAUGUUGACUGAUAUGUAGUCGUA
This 774-nucleotide ribosomal RNA is filed under the name uncultured Neocallimastigales. RNAcentral describes it as "partial large subunit ribosomal RNA". It matches the Rfam family "Eukaryotic large subunit ribosomal RNA", at positions 23 to 644 of the family's 3401-position model. The record is from RNAcentral. Lineage: Eukaryota; Fungi; Neocallimastigomycota; Neocallimastigomycetes; Neocallimastigales.